UGAGUAACCUGCCCCUGACUCUGGGAUAACCCCCGGGGAAACCGGAGCUAAUACCGGAUACGAACCACUCAGGCAUCUGAGAGGUUGGAAAGAUUUAUCGGUCAGGGAUGGACUCGCGGCCUAUCAGCUUGUUGGUGGGGUAACGGCCCACCAAGGCGACGACGGGUAGCCGGCCUGAGAGGGCGACCGGCCACACUGGGACUGAGAUACGGCCCAGACUCCUACGGGAGGCAG
Molecule: ribosomal RNA, 234 nt
Filed under: uncultured bacterium
Lineage: Bacteria
Description: partial 16S ribosomal RNA
Rfam family: Bacterial small subunit ribosomal RNA
Source: RNAcentral